CUCACGGCCACGCGCAGCUCCCUCGGUCACUCUCACCGGGCCGCCACUCCUGCAAGAUUCUUAACUUCACAAUGGAAUUGAUAUGGAAGUGCAGUGGUGUGGGCAACACUAAUUUCAAAAGAACUGAUCACGUUCGUGAAGUCGUAUUGGAUGUGAGGUAGUUCGGGCUUCCUGUUAUGGACAAGAUGGAUGGUAUUGUACAAGAUGAAAUGGGUGGG
Long non-coding RNA from Penaeus indicus, 218 nucleotides. RefSeq lists it as uncharacterized. The transcript has 4 exons. The record is from RefSeq and is a predicted model, not a curated record. Lineage: Eukaryota; Metazoa; Arthropoda; Malacostraca; Decapoda; Penaeidae.